CACGAAGGUGGCAAGCGUUGUUCGGAUUUACUGGGCGUACAGGGAGCGUAGGCGGUUGGAUAAGCCCUCCGUGAAAUCUCCAGGCUUAACCUGGAAAGUGCAGAGGGGACUGUUCAGCUAGAGGAUGGGAGAGGAGCGCGGAAUUCCCGGUGUAGCGGUGAAAUGCGUAGAGAUCGAUAGGAACUCCGGUGGCGAAGGCGGCAUACUGGAUCACUUCUGACGCUGAGGCGCGAAAGCCAGGGGAGCAAACGGG
RNAcentral lists this ribosomal RNA (253 nucleotides) under uncultured bacterium. Its description in RNAcentral is "partial 16S ribosomal RNA". It matches the Rfam family "Bacterial small subunit ribosomal RNA", at positions 524 to 776 of the family's 1533-position model. The record is from RNAcentral.